Molecule: ribosomal RNA, 433 nt
Filed under: uncultured Mogibacterium sp.
Lineage: Bacteria; Bacillati; Bacillota; Clostridia; Peptostreptococcales; Anaerovoracaceae
Description: bacterial SSU rRNA
Rfam family: Bacterial small subunit ribosomal RNA
Source: RNAcentral
ACGGGAGGCAGCAGUGGGGAAUAUUGCACAAUGGGCGCAAGCCUGAUGCAGCGAUGCCGCGUGAGGGAAGAAGGUUUUCGGAUUGUAAACCUCUGUCAACAGGGACGAAAAUGACGGUACCUGUGAAGGAAGCUCCGGCUAACUACGUGCCAGCAGCCGCGGUAAUACGUAGGGGGCAAGCGUUAUCCGGAAUUAUUGGGCGUAAAGAGUGCGUAGGUGGUUACCUAAGCGCAAGGUUUAAUCUUGAGGCUUAACCUCAUUCUGCCUUGCGAACUGGGCUACUUGAGUGCAGGAGGGGAAAGCGGAAUUCCUAGUGUAGCGGUGAAAUGCGUAGAUAUUAGGAAGAACACCGGUGGCGAAGGCGGCUUUCUGGACUGUAACUGACACUGAGGCACGAAAGCGUGGGGAGCAAACAGGAUUAGAUACCCUGGUA